RNAcentral lists this long non-coding RNA (694 nucleotides) under Bos indicus x Bos taurus (hybrid cattle). RNAcentral describes it as "lncRNA (ENSBIXG00000013655.1)". The record is from RNAcentral. Lineage: Eukaryota; Metazoa; Chordata; Mammalia; Artiodactyla; Bovidae.
GCACAGGCUGCUGCCCCAUCAACUGGGGACACAGAGAUUUUAGGGCAGAAGCUUCAGGGAAAGGUUGGGGUGGAGGGAGGGAGUGGGGUGGAGGAUCUCAGUACCUCCAAGCUGGGCCUUUGGGGAGACUCCAGACACAGUCUCUGGGUUGCGGGGUGGAGGUGAGGUUUUCAGGAGAAGAGAAAAGAAAGCACUAGAACUACUCAUAGGUGCAAUGCAUCCCACUCAGCUCACAUUUGUUUACACACCUACGUUUUGCACGCCAAGGUCCAUGCUAAGCCCUGGACAAACCGGUAGAUGAGACUCGAUCUCUGGCAACUCUCUGGGGAGAAGACCCACAACAUGCCCAGGAGGCAGGUGUGGGAGCAGAGGUUCUGACUGCCUGGCCAGGCUGAAAGCACCCUGAGGGCAGAGGUACUUAAGAUAGUGGUUCAAAGUUCCCCCAACAGUGUGACGAGAUGGACUGGGAAGGGACUUCUGGGAGGACUGGAUUUGCUUCUUCACUCAGCCACUCAAAUUCCCAAAGACCAGCUACACAUUCUUUGGCAGUUUCCUGAAGAUGAACUUCAGAUUUUUGUGGAGAGAGUGGAAAAAAAAAACAAGAAAGACAAAAGCAAAGGGUGGGAAGAAGUGAGGCGGAAAGCGACAGAGCGUGUGCACUCACACGCACACCACGCCUGGCAAUAAGGAAGUG